UCCCUGGUAGCUCAGAUAGUAAAGUGUCUGCCUGUAAUGCAGAAGACACAGGUUCAAUCCCUGGGUCGGGAA
Molecule: transfer RNA, 72 nt
Organism: Ovis aries (sheep)
Lineage: Eukaryota; Metazoa; Chordata; Mammalia; Artiodactyla; Bovidae
Rfam family: tRNA
About the family: Transfer RNA (tRNA) molecules are approximately 80 nucleotides in length. Their secondary structure includes four short double-helical elements and three loops (D, anti-codon, and T loops).
Source: Rfam